This is a non-coding RNA of Mycena rosella, 91 nucleotides long. Lineage: Eukaryota; Fungi; Basidiomycota; Agaricomycetes; Agaricales; Mycenaceae. The record is from the annotation of a GenBank genome assembly.
GGCACUGUGGCGGAGUGGUUAACGCGACAGAUUCGAAUUACACUUUAUCUGUUCCUCUUGUAGGGCGCAUGUUCGAAUCAUGCCAGUGUCG